UGGGGUGUAGCCAAGCGGUAAGGCAGCGGCCUUUGGAGCCGCCAUUCGGAGGUUCGAAUCCUCCCGCCCCAGCCA
RNAcentral lists this transfer RNA (75 nucleotides) under Acidobacteriota bacterium. Its description in RNAcentral is "tRNA-Gln". It matches the Rfam family "tRNA". From Rfam's summary of the family: Transfer RNA (tRNA) molecules are approximately 80 nucleotides in length. Their secondary structure includes four short double-helical elements and three loops (D, anti-codon, and T loops). Further hydrogen bonds mediate the characteristic L-shaped molecular structure. tRNAs have two regions of fundamental functional importance: the anti-codon, which is responsible for specific mRNA codon recognition, and the 3' end, to which the tRNAs corresponding amino acid is attached (by aminoacyl-tRNA synthetases). tRNAs cope with the degeneracy of the genetic code in two manners: having more than one tRNA (with a specific anti-codon) for a particular amino acid; and 'wobble' base-pairing, i.e. permitting non-standard base-pairing at the 3rd anti-codon position. Lineage: Bacteria; Pseudomonadati; Acidobacteriota. RNAcentral also lists the same sequence under 3 other names. The record is from RNAcentral.